Oncorhynchus masou masou (cherry salmon) is the source of this 2029-nucleotide long non-coding RNA. RefSeq lists it as uncharacterized. The record is from RefSeq and is a predicted model, not a curated record. The transcript is spliced from 2 exons. Lineage: Eukaryota; Metazoa; Chordata; Actinopteri; Salmoniformes; Salmonidae.
GAGAGAGAGAGAGAGAGAGAGGAGAUACAUCUACAUUCUACUGCUGCCUCAGGACAAACACAGUCGGAAACAGAACUACAGAGAGCACUCAGAGACGAGCGUCGCUAAUUCUCUUUUUUUUGAAGACACAGAUCUUAUCUGCACAGAGAUUCACACAUUCUACUAAAGAGUUGACUAAAGAGUUGACGCGAGAAACCUGGAUAUACACUACAGUAGCAAAGAACAGAGAAAGAGGAAGAGACUUGGAUAUACACCCUACAACUCUUAUUACAGCCAUGCGUCCUAGAUCCAAACUCCUGUCCCAGAAGAGGAGACUACAGCUUCCCACCAUCAGAGAGGGCUACGAGGACCUAGUCAGAGACAUGAACCAGUUGAAUCAGAUUAACCAGUCCAACACCCUCCACUCUGCCCAGCCUACCACUCACCCAGGGCCCUGCCCACACACUCUCUCCUCAGAGGACUACCUGCUGUCCAUAUGCCACCUGGCUCACCCCACCUCCCUUCCCACCAAUGACAUUAUCAACCCUCGCAAGCAGGACUCGCUGCACCACAGGCCGAGGCUGCUGCGGCUCGCUGUGCAAGAUGAAAACUCUCCAAAGACCACUGCACUUUGUCACAGGGGAAAGGCUCAUGGUAAGGACAGGGUGGAGCCUGGGAUGUACUCUGACCUCAUUACUGUGUGCGGAGGACAGGAGAAAGAUUCCAAAUGUAGCAAGCCUGCGUUUGGUCGCCAUGGUGCGUCAGAUCCUUUAGAAUUCCUGUACAGCAGCCCCACCCACUCCACCUGUCAAUCAGGGAAUGGGAGGCAGUGAUUGGGUUUGAGGAGACACUGGGUGGUGUCUGAGGGCCAGUCCUGCCCACGGGCACACAGUUAACCCCGCUCUUGCCCCUCUGGCAUCCAGCAGCAACGUAAGAGCAGCUGUCCUAAGUUCCGUGAUACAGCCACCCCUGACUGUGCCCCCUCUCUCUCUUUUACCUCACCACACAGCCCUCACAGACAUGCACACCUACACAGGACUCUGCAGAACAGCUACAGGCUAGGAUAGGUGGCCCGUUUAACAAAGAAAACAAGGGGGGUGAAGGGAGAGGGAAGGAGAGGAAGGAGGAGAGGAAAAGGGAGAGCUCCACGGUCAAACAUUCCCUGAUCUCUCAGUGGAUGUCAGAUUGUCCCUGUGGCUGGAUGGAGGCCUGUGUAUGAGCUUGCCUUCUGCCCACCAUCGCAGAUAUGUAAAGGCAUCAGAACCACUGAACCACAUCAACAGUCCAUAGACCUAUAUGACAGGAUAUGAACAAUGACAAGACACCACAGUUUCACUAUGACAGUAGAUACCUGCUGAAAUGUUUUUUUGUUUGUUAAAAAAAAAAUGUUUUAAUUGAAUAUCUGAAACAUGCAAUGUACUUGCAGUGAAGCCGCUCAACAACUACAUCAUACCAGUCAUCCAACAGAGUCCCAUUCACAGGGACACACAGAAGCAUCCAGGGUCAAUGCCCUGCUCAAGGGCAUGUUGACCGAUCUCCCACCAGGCUAAAAAACAUGAACCUGAACCCUCCAAGAUCCCCCCACAGUUCCCCAAUAGCUGUCCCUCAACCAUUCGAGACCACUCCCACAGUCCCCCCCCCAAAGAAUAUAUAUAUAUUUUUUAAUACAAUUAAUUCCAUUCCCCACCCUCAAGAACCCCCCCAAUGCACCAACAACCAAGAGAAUGAGCUAAAGAGAAAAAAGUAAAAGACCUGCUGAAUUGACACGACAGCAAAUAUAAAUGUUGAUCUAUGAGAAAUGUCACUGAACUAUACAAUGAGUGUACAAAACAUUAGGAACACCUUCCUAAUAUUGAGUUGCACCCCAUUUUGCCCUCAGAACAGCCUCAAUUCAUUGAGGCAUGGACUCUACGUGGUGCCAAAAAAUGAAUUGAUUUAAAAAAAAACAUGUUUUUAAUACAGUGUCUGUCUGUCAUGAUUUUUAACCUGUGACCCUUUACAAAGGCAUGAUAACUUGUUUUUGUGCACAUUAAAUGUCAGAAACCCAAUA